AAGACCUCGCGCUAUUGGAGCGGCCGAUGUCCGAUUAGCUAGUUGGUGGGGUAACGGCUCACCAAGGCAACGAUCGGUAGCUGGUCUGAGAGGAUGAUCAGCCACACUGGGACUGAGACACGGCCCAGACUCCUACGGGAGGCAGCAGUGGGGAAUUUUGGACAAUGGGCGCAAGCCUGAUCCAGCCAUGCCGCGUGAGUGAAGAAGGCCUUCGGGUUGUAAAGCUCUUUCGGCCAGAACGAAAUCGUCCGGGCUAAUACUCCGGAUGGAUGACGGUACUGGAAGAAGAAGCACCGGCUAACUACGUGCCAGCAGCCGCGGUAAUACGUAGGGUGCGGGCGUUAAUCGGAAUUACUGGGCGUAAAGCGUGCGCAGGCGGUUUUUCAAGUCAGAUGUGAAAGCCCCGGGCUUAACCUGGGAACU
This 423-nucleotide ribosomal RNA is filed under the name uncultured bacterium. RNAcentral's name for it is "bacterial SSU rRNA". It matches the Rfam family "Bacterial small subunit ribosomal RNA", at positions 202 to 622 of the family's 1533-position model. The record is from RNAcentral.